UACAAAAGUUUAUCCAUAAAAUGAUUCUGAUACUGAUCUAAUUGAUAUAUAUAGAUAUGGACUAAAAGGAUUUAUAAUAAAAUUAUUUCGGAGAAUAUUCACUUACUUUUCCACACACUCUCCGAAUUAUGUGUAGUCCUGAAGCAAUCUAAAAACUAAUUAUAUGAGCUAUAAAAAUUAAUUAAGUUUUAAUUAAAACUUAAAUGUAGCUUUAUCGCAAAAUUUCGACACCAUCGAAUGCAGAAACACUAAGAACUGAUGAAUUGAUGGAAUAUCUACUUUGACUUAGGUUCAAUUCUAAUUGAUGAGUAAAAGUUUCAUAACCUUUGGACUUCUAAAAAUUAACAUAUUAAACUUCAGUUUAAUGGAUGUCAUCGUGAAAAUAAUCAAGUACAAGUGAGAAAAAGCAAAACAUCGGAAUUAUAAAUGGCGAUAUCUCCACAAAAUAUUUUUCGAUGAGGUUCGCAGAGUAUUAAUGACUACAAUAUUACUGACUGCUCGAGAACUGGUAGUAGAACAUGAAGACAGGUUUAAUGUAUUUCUUCCAAUCCUUUAGUGGAGUGUAAACUGUUGCAGACUUCAAAAGAUUGAAAUCAAAACAAUCCUCUUUUUCCAACGUAAAAUGCAACAAAUUUGUGAAGUUAAAGAAGAAAUAAGGUAUAUUUAAACAACCUAAUCUGUAAGAUAGAUAGUUCUGGAGAUUAUCAGGUCAUCAUGUCUAUUUUAAAGACCAUAUAAUAUAUUCAAAUAUAUUUGGGGAUCUGUAAUGUCAGAACAUUUACUUCUACUUUAAGGUUAAAGUUGGGAAUGCUGCUGUUCUUAGAAAUCUACUAGAAAUGUUUGACUUGCGUAUAAUGGUAAGACAAAGUUGUUAGGCAGAAGUCCAGAAAUUUAUUACAAAGAACUUUUCUUUUAAAAGUUUGUAAAAUUCGACGGUGCCAGUAAAAAAUUCAACGUCUUAGUAUUUACAAGAUGAAUUUUUCGUCACACAAAUGUAAUAUGGAACUGAAUAUUACACUAUCUUUGUUUGGCUUGAUAUUUGCUAUAUGGCACUGGCGCCAUAGUCCAACAAAAGCCAUUAAAGAGAAACUUACAAAAUGUAUGAAAACCGGAAAAGUGACGAAAGUGGUAAGCCCAGUAUCGUCAACGUUCUUCAAAUAUUUAAAAAUGAGUUACUGGCUUUUAAAUUUCUUUAAAAUCUUGCAAGUAUUUUAAUUUGGAAAGGACCUUAACACUCAACUUUAUUGAAUUUUAUAAUCAAUUUUAUAUUAUAAUUAAAUUAGUCUUAAGCAACAAAAAAAUAUGUU
Molecule: long non-coding RNA, 1307 nt
Organism: Teleopsis dalmanni
Lineage: Eukaryota; Metazoa; Arthropoda; Insecta; Diptera; Diopsidae
Exons: 3
Source: RefSeq, a predicted model, not a curated record